UAGGGGAGCGAACGGGAUUAGAUACCCCGGUAGUCCUAGCUGUAAAGCAUGCGGGCCAGGUGUCUGGUGUUCCUUGAGAGCACCAAGUGCCGGAGGGAAGCCGUUAAGCCCGCCGCCUGGGAAGUACGGUCGCAAGGCUGAAACUUAAAGAAAUUGGCGGGGGAGCACUACAAGGGGUGAGACCUGCGGUUCAAUUGGAUUCAACGCCGAAAAACUCACCAGGGGCGACAGUUGAUUGAAGGCCAGGUUGACGACCUUGCCGGACUAGCUGAGAGGUGGUGCAUGGCCGUCGUCAGCUCGUACCGUGAGGCGUCCUGUCAAGUCAGGUAACGAGCGAGACCCUCGCCCUUAGUUGCCAUCGAUGGGAAGUCGGGCACUCUAGGGGGACCGCUGGCGCUAAGCCAGAGGAAGGAGAGGGCAACGGUAGGUCCGUAUGCCCCGAAUCCCCUGGGCUACACGCGGGUCGCAAUGCGCAGGACAAUGGGAUGCAACCCCGUAAGGGGAAGCCAAUCCCCUAAACCUGCGCUCGGUUCGGAUCGAGGGCUGUAACUCGCCCUCGUGAAGCUGGAAUCCCUAGUAAUCGCGUGCCAACACCGCGCGGUGAAUACGUCCCUGCUCCUUGCACACACCGCCCGUCAAGCCAUUCGAGUGGGGUCUAGAUGAGGUUCGUUCAAGUUGGGCAGACCGAAUCUAG
This 694-nucleotide ribosomal RNA is filed under the name uncultured euryarchaeote. RNAcentral's name for it is "bacterial SSU rRNA". It matches the Rfam family "Archaeal small subunit ribosomal RNA", at positions 712 to 1412 of the family's 1478-position model. The record is from RNAcentral. Lineage: Archaea; Methanobacteriati; Methanobacteriota.